Molecule: ribosomal RNA, 330 nt
Filed under: uncultured eukaryote
Lineage: Eukaryota
Description: partial 18S ribosomal RNA
Rfam family: Eukaryotic small subunit ribosomal RNA
Source: RNAcentral
CCCUUAGAUGUUCUGGGCCGCACGCGCGCUACACUGAUGCAUUCAACGAGUCUAAAACCUGGUCUGAUAGGGCUGGGUAAUCUUUUGAAAGUGCAUCGUGAUUGGGAUAGAUGAUUGCAAUUCUUCAUCUUCAACGAGGAAUGCCUAGUAAACGCAAGUCAUCAGCUUGCAUUGAUUACGUCCCUGCCCUUUGUACACACCGCCCGUCGCUCCUACCGAUUGAAUGAUCCGAUGAAUACCAUGGAUUGAGAGUACGAAUGGGUUCGCUCAUUUCUGCUGCUCGAGAAGUGGAGUAAAUCUUAUCAUUUAGAGGAAGGAGAGGUCGUAACA